UGGGUAGGGGAGCGUCGUGUGCCGGGUGAAGCAGCCGCGGAAGCGAGUUGUGGACGGUUCACGAGUGAGAAUGCAGGCAUGAGUAGCGAUACACACGUGAGAAACGUGUGCGCCGAUUGACUAAGGGUUCCUGGGUCAAGCUGAUCUGCCCAGGGUAAGUCGGGACCUAAGGCGAGGCCGACAGGCGUAGUCGAUGGACAACCGGUUGAUAUUCCGGUACCCGCUUUGAAACGCCCAGUACUGAAUCAGGCGAUGCUAAGUCCGUGAAGCCGGCCCGAUCUCUUCGGAGUUGAGGGUAGUGGUGGAGCCGAUGAACCAGACUUGUAGUAGGUAAGCGAUGGGGUGACGCAGGAAGGUAGUCCAGCCCGGGCGGUGGUUGUCCCGGGGUAAGGGUGUAGGACGCACGGUAGGCAAAUCCGUCGUGCAUAUAGUCUGAGACCUGAUGCCGAGCCGAUUGUGGUGAAGUGGAUGAUCCUAUGCUGUCGAGAAAAGCCUCUAGCGAGUUUCAUGGCGGCCCGUACCCUAAACCGACUCAGGUGGUCAGGUAGAGAAUACCGAGGCGUUCGGGUGAACUAUGGUUAAGGAACUCGGCAAAAUGCCCCCGUAACUUCGGGAGAAGGGGGGCCAUCACUGGUGAUCCGAUUUACUCGGUGAGCUGGGGGUGGCCGCAGAGACCAGCGAGAAGCGACUGUUUACUAAAAACACAGGUCCGUGCGAAGCCGUAAGGCGAUGUAUACGGACUGACGCCUGCCCGGUGCUGGAACGUUAAGGGGACCGGUUAGCUGCCUUUCGGGGUGGCGAAGCUGAGAACUUAAGCGCCAGUAAACGGCGGUGGUAACUAUAACCAUCCUAAGGUAGCGAAAUUCCUUGUCGGGUAAGUUCCGACCUGCACGAAUGGCGUAACGACUUCUCGACUGUCUCAACCAUAGGCCCGGUGAAAUUGCACUACGAGUAAAGAUGCUCGUUUCGCGCAGCAGGACGGAAAGACCCCGGGACCUUUACUAUAGUUUGAUAUUGGUGUUCGGUUCGGCUUGUGUAGGAUAGGUGGGAGACUGUGAAGCGGCCACGCCAGUGGUUGUGGAGUCGUCGUUGAAAUACCACUCUGGUCGUGCUGGAUGUCUAACCUGGGUCCGUGAUCCGGAUCAGGGACAGUGUCUGAUGGGUAGUUUAACUGGGGCGGUUGCCUCCUAAAGAGUAACGGAGGCGCCCAAAGGUUCCCUCAGCCUGGUUGGUAAUCAGGUGUUGAGUGUAAGUGCACAAGGGAGCUUGACUGUGAGACCGACGGGUCGAGCAGGGACGAAAGUCGGGACUAGUGAUCCGGCAGUGGCUUGUGGAAGCGCUGUCGCUCAACGGAUAAAAGGUACCCCGGGGAUAACAGGCUGAUCUUCCCCAAGAGUCCAUAUCGACGGGAUGGUUUGGCACCUCGAUGUCGGCUCGUCGCAUCCUGGGGCUGGAGUCGGUCCCAAGGGUUGGGCUGUUCGCCCAUUAAAGCGGUACGCGAGCUGGGUUUAGAACGUCGUGAGACAGUUCGGUCCCUAUCCGCUGUGCGCGUAGGAAUAUUGAGAAGGGCUGUCCCUAGUACGAGAGGACCGGGACGGACGAACCUCUGGUGUGCCAGUUGUCCUGCCAAGGGCAUGGCUGGUUGGCUACGUUCGGAAAGGAUAACCGCUGAAAGCAUCUAAGCGGGAAGCCUGCUUCGAGAUGAGUAUUCCCACCCUCUUGAGGGGUUAAGGCUCCCAGUAGACGACUGGGUUGAUAGGCCAGAUGUGGAAGCCCGGUAACGGGUGGAGCUGACUGGUACUAAUAGGCCGAGGGCUUGUCCUCAGUUG
RNAcentral lists this ribosomal RNA (1829 nucleotides) under Streptomyces sp. JS01. Its description in RNAcentral is "bacterial LSU rRNA". It matches the Rfam family "Bacterial large subunit ribosomal RNA", at positions 1225 to 2925 of the family's 2925-position model. Lineage: Bacteria; Bacillati; Actinomycetota; Actinomycetes; Kitasatosporales; Streptomycetaceae. The record is from RNAcentral.